Molecule: ribosomal RNA, 1730 nt
Filed under: Salmonella enterica subsp. enterica serovar Enteritidis
Lineage: Bacteria; Pseudomonadati; Pseudomonadota; Gammaproteobacteria; Enterobacterales; Enterobacteriaceae
Description: partial 23S ribosomal RNA
Rfam family: Bacterial large subunit ribosomal RNA
Source: RNAcentral
UCGGCUAGGGGGCCAUCCCGGCUUACCAACCCGAUGCAAACUGCGAAUACCGGAGAAUGUUAUCACGGGAGACACACGGCGGGUGCUAACGUCCGUCGUGAAGAGGGAAACAACCCAGACCGCCAGCUAAGGUCCCAAAGUCAUGGUUAAGUGGGAAACGAUGUGGGAAGGCCCAGACAGCCAGGAUGUUGGCUUAGAAGCAGCCAUCAUUUAAAGAAAGCGUAAUAGCUCACUGGUCGAGUCGGCCUGCGCGGAAGAUGUAACGGGGCUAAACCAUGCACCGAAGCUGCGGCAGCGACGCUUAUGCGUUGUUGGGUAGGGGAGCGUUCUGUAAGCCUGCGAAGGUGGCCUGUGAGGGUUGCUGGAGGUAUCAGAAGUGCGAAUGCUGACAUAAGUAACGAUAAAGCGGGUGAAAAGCCCGCUCGCCGGAAGACCAAGGGUUCCUGUCCAACGUUAAUCGGGGCAGGGUGAGUCGACCCCUAAGGCGAGGCCGAAAGGCGUAGUCGAUGGGAAACGGGUUAAUAUUCCCGUACUUGGUGUUACUGCGAAGGGGGGACGGAGAAGGCUAUGUUGGCCGGGCGACGGUUGUCCCGGUUUAAGCGUGUAGGUGUGUGUUCCAGGUAAAUCCGGUUCACUUUAACACUGAGGCGUGACGACGAUUUACUCAUGGAGCUGAAGUCAGUCGAAGAUACCAGCUGGCUGCAACUGUUUAUUAAAAACACAGCACUGUGCAAACACGAAAGUGGACGUAUACGGUGUGACGCCUGCCCGGUGCCGGAAGGUUAAUUGAUGGGGUCAGCGCAAGCGAAGCUCCUGAUCGAAGCCCCGGUAAACGGCGGCCGUAACUAUAACGGUCCUAAGGUAGCGAAAUUCCUUGUCGGGUAAGUUCCGACCUGCACGAAUGGCGUAAUGAUGGCCAGGCUGUCUCCACCCGAGACUCAGUGAAAUUGAACUCGCUGUGAAGAUGCAGUGUACCCGCGGCAAGACGGAAAGACCCCGUGAACCUUUACUAUAGCUUGACACUGAACAUUGAGCCUUGAUGUGUAGGAUAGGUGGGAGGCUUUGAAGUGUGGACGCCAGUCUGCAUGGAGCCGACCUUGAAAUACCACCCUUUAAUGUUUGAUGUUCUAACGUGGACCCGUUACCCGGGUUGCGGACAGUGUCUGGUGGGUAGUUUGACUGGGGCGGUCUCCUCCUAAAGAGUAACGGAGGAGCACGAAGGUUGGCUAAUCCUGGUCGGACAUCAGGAGGUUAGUGCAAUGGCAUAAGCCAGCUUGACUGCGAGCGUGACGGCGCGAGCAGGUGCGAAAGCAGGUCAUAGUGAUCCGGUGGUUCUGAAUGGAAGGGCCAUCGCUCAACGGAUAAAAGGUACUCCGGGGAUAACAGGCUGAUACCGCCCAAGAGUUCAUAUCGACGGCGGUGUUUGGCACCUCGAUGUCGGCUCAUCACAUCCUGGGGCUGAAGUAGGUCCCAAGGGUAUGGCUGUUCGCCAUUUAAAGUGGUACGCGAGCUGGGUUUAGAACGUCGUGAGACAGUUCGGUCCCUAUCUGCCGUGGGCGCUGGAGAACUGAGGGGGGCUGCUCCUAGUACGAGAGGACCGGAGUGGACGCAUCACUGGUGUUCGGGUUGUCAUGCCAAUGGCACUGCCCGGUAGCUAAAUGCGGAAGAGAUAAGUGCUGAAAGCAUCUAAGCACGAAACUUGCCCCGAGAUGAGUUCUCCCUGAGACUUA